RNAcentral lists this ribosomal RNA (762 nucleotides) under uncultured bacterium. Its description in RNAcentral is "bacterial SSU rRNA". It matches the Rfam family "Bacterial small subunit ribosomal RNA", at positions 28 to 797 of the family's 1533-position model. The record is from RNAcentral.
AACGAACGUUGGCGGCGUGGAUUAGGCAUGCAAGUCGAACGAAUGUCAGUUUUGUAGCAAUACAGAGCUGGCGGAAGUGGCGAAAGGGGCAGUAAUGCAUGGGUAACCUACCUUGGGGAUGGGGAUAGCCGUCCUAACGAGCGGGUAAUACCCAGAGAUUCGGCGGGAGGGCAUCCUUCUACCGGGAAAUGAAUUUCGCCUCGAGAGGGGCCCAUGUGCUAUUAGCUAGUUGGUGAGGUAACGGCUCACCAAGGCUAAGAUGGCUAGCGGGUGUGAGAGCACGACCCGCGCCACUGGCACUGAGACACUGGCCAGACACCUACGGGUGGCUGCAGUCGAGGAUCUUCGUCAAUGGGCGCAAGCCUGAACGAGCGACGCCGCGUGCGCGAUGAAGGCCUUCGGGUUGUAAAGCGCGAAAGUGGGGAGAAAGGGAAACUUGAUCAAUCCACAGUAAGGACGGGCUAAGUUCGUGCCAGCAGCCGCGGUAAGACGAACUGUCCUAACGUUGUUCGGAAUCACUGGGCUUAAAGGGCGCGUAGGCGGUCCAACAAGUCGGGGGUGAAAUCCUGCAGCUUAACUGCAGAAGUGCCUUCGAUACUGUUGGUCUCGAGGGAGAUAGGGGUGUGCGGAACUUCCAGUGGAGCGGUGAAAUGCGUUGAUAUUGGAAGGAACGCCGGAGGCGAAAGCGGCGCACUGGAUCUCUUCUGACGCUGAGGCGCGAAAGCUAGGGGAGCAAACGGGAUUAGAUACCCCGGUAGUCCU